GCGAGAAUGGCGGAACUGGUAGACGCGCUAGACUUAGGAUCUAGUGGGGUGACCUGUGGGGGUUCGAGUCCCCCUUCUCGCA
Molecule: transfer RNA, 82 nt
Filed under: Chitinivibrionales bacterium
Lineage: Bacteria; Pseudomonadati; Fibrobacterota; Chitinivibrionia; Chitinivibrionales
Description: tRNA-Leu
Rfam family: tRNA
About the family: Transfer RNA (tRNA) molecules are approximately 80 nucleotides in length. Their secondary structure includes four short double-helical elements and three loops (D, anti-codon, and T loops). Further hydrogen bonds mediate the characteristic L-shaped molecular structure. tRNAs have two regions of fundamental functional importance: the anti-codon, which is responsible for specific mRNA codon recognition, and the 3' end, to which the tRNAs corresponding amino acid is attached (by aminoacyl-tRNA synthetases). tRNAs cope with the degeneracy of the genetic code in two manners: having more than one tRNA (with a specific anti-codon) for a particular amino acid; and 'wobble' base-pairing, i.e. permitting non-standard base-pairing at the 3rd anti-codon position.
Source: RNAcentral